Molecule: ribosomal RNA, 232 nt
Filed under: uncultured bacterium
Lineage: Bacteria
Description: partial 16S ribosomal RNA
Rfam family: Bacterial small subunit ribosomal RNA
Source: RNAcentral
UACGGAAGGGGCAAGCGUUGUUCGGAAUCAUUGGGCGUAAAGGGCGCGUAGGUGGUUCUGUAUGUCUACCGUGAAAGCAUACAGCUCAACUGUAUUUUGUCGGUAGAAACUGCAGGACUUGAGGCUGGGAGGGGCUGGUGGAAUUCCCUGUGUAGCGGUGAAAUGCGUAGAUAUUGGGAGGAACACCAGUGGCGAAGGCGGCUCACUGGACCGGUACUGACGCUGAGGCGCG